Molecule: ribosomal RNA, 200 nt
Filed under: uncultured Glomus
Lineage: Eukaryota; Fungi; Glomeromycota; Glomeromycetes; Glomerales; Glomeraceae
Description: partial small subunit ribosomal RNA
Rfam family: Eukaryotic small subunit ribosomal RNA
Source: RNAcentral
CCAAUAGCGUAUAUUAAAGUUGCUGCAGUUAAAAAGCUCGUAGUUGAAUUUCGGGACCAAUAUGUCGGUCGUGCCUCGGUACGUACUGGCUUAUUGGUUUCUCCCUUCUGACGAACCAUGAUGUCAUUUAUUUGGUGUCGUGGGGAAUCAGGACUGUUACUUUGAAAAAAUUAGAGUGUUUAAAGCAGGCUCGCGCUUGA